Molecule: ribosomal RNA, 497 nt
Filed under: uncultured bacterium
Lineage: Bacteria
Description: partial 16S ribosomal RNA
Rfam family: Bacterial small subunit ribosomal RNA
Source: RNAcentral
GACGAACGCUGGCGGCGUGCCUAAUACAUGCAAGUUGAGCGAUGAAGCUUGGUGCUUGCACCUAUUUGAAGAGCAGCGAACGGGUGAGUAACGCGUGGGGAAUCUGCCUUUGAGCGGGGGACAACAUUUGGAAACGAAUGCUAAUACCGCAUAACAACUUUAAACAUAAGUUUUAAGAUUGAAAGAUGCAAUUGCAUCACUCAAAGAUGAUCUCGCGUUGUAUUAGCUAGUUGGUGAGGUAAAGGCUCACCAAGGCGAUGAUACAUAGCCGACCUGAGAGGGGGAUCGGCCACAUUGGGACUGAGACACGGCCCAAACUCCCACGGGAGGCAGCAGUAGGGAAACUUCGGCAAUUGACGAAAGGCUGACCGGGCAACGCCGCGUGGGUGAAGAAGGGUUUCGGAUCGUAAAACUCUGUUGGUAGGGGAGAAAGUUAGGGGGAGUGGAAAACUCAUCAAGUGACGGUAACUACCCAGAAAGGGACGGCUAACUACGUG